UGGGAAGGUUUUGUGCUCAAGAGUGGGUGGUGAACGGAGACGUCUUUGGUCUGCAAUAAUGGCUUUUAAUUUAACAACGUUUAAAACACCAACAGCCCUACAGUAUAUUUACUUUUAGCGACUCUUUCUUUAUUGGGGCGGGGGCGGGGGCGGGGUGGCGUGCUGCUGGAUGAGGCUUCGGCGAGGCAGCAGUGAUGACUGCCUCUUUCCUUCCUUAUUUCCGAAAUGAGUUCAGGGAGAGUGGAAGCAUUUAUGGUAACAUUGGCUCAAGACCAUCUCGCUUUUGCCCUUUGGAAAGAUUUAAACGGUUUUUUAAGAAAUCUCUUUCCCAGGAGGGAUGACUCGGAGAAGUUCACUCGGCAAAGCCACAGAGGGCCACACUCUUGCUCCAGGAUGUGGCUGCUUGCCUGCUGCUGCCUCAAAAAAAAAAAAAGCGUGAGGAAGCAAGUUCUCUGGAUUGUCUGUUUAGGGGGGGCAUCCUCCUCCUCUUGCCGGUUCCAGAAGACAAGAGUGGCGCCACGACCCUGGGAAACUCAACACUAUCUGGAACGAGUUGCCUGCGAGUAGUUCAUACCUCUGUAAAGCUGCUGGAAUACCUAGAGGAACUCUGAAUUCAAACCCUCUUCAGGCCGGCAAUAUAUGCCUCCAAUCUGAAUUGGGUUGCCAUUGACCUUGGUGAAAUCUGCCUGAGCCCUGUGCUCCCAGAAAUCAGCGAUGGUUAAGAAAUGCCCCCACCUUUCUGUGUUCCCAGAAAUGGCUUACUACAAAGAGCCACUUCCCCAUAUGACUGCGAUAAAACUCGAGGUCCACUCUUUCUCAUGACUCCAUAAGAUUCGCAGAUGACUCCCUUGUUUACCUAUGACAAGGGCAAACGGAGAUAUUUCCCUUUCUGCCUGCACGUGCUGACAAGACCAGACACAGACCCUCCAGCUCCCCAUUCUUUGUCUCAUGAAUGAAUAGCGGAGAUUAGAACUGUUUGUCCCUCUGAAACUUGUCAGACACAGAAAAACAUUUCCUGUUCAGUUAACUGACCUAGACUUCCUCUGAUUGCAAAACAAUCCCAACUGUAGGUCACCCCACCUGCACCUGUAACUUGUCUAUUCCUCCCUAUAAAAACGUCUAAUGCAAAAUCACCCUGGCAGAAAGACUGUGAUAUUCAGAUUUAGGAUGCUAUUGUAAGAGCCUGAAUAAAAUCAAUCUUUCUUGUCUGGUUUUUGUCUUUGAUA
Rhinolophus ferrumequinum (greater horseshoe bat) is the source of this 1226-nucleotide long non-coding RNA. RefSeq lists it as uncharacterized. NCBI's taxonomy places the organism in Eukaryota, Metazoa, Chordata, Mammalia, Chiroptera, Rhinolophidae. The transcript has 3 exons. The record is from RefSeq and is a predicted model, not a curated record.